This 253-nucleotide ribosomal RNA is filed under the name uncultured bacterium. RNAcentral's name for it is "partial 16S ribosomal RNA". It matches the Rfam family "Bacterial small subunit ribosomal RNA", at positions 524 to 776 of the family's 1533-position model. The record is from RNAcentral.
GACAGAGGAUGCAAGCGUUAUCCGGAAUGAUUGGGCGUAAAGCGCACGUAGGCGGCAUUGCAAGUCGGAUGUGAAAUCUUAUGGCUUAACCAUAAAAGUGCAUCCGAAACUGCAGUGCUUGAGUACUUAAGAGGAUCGCGGAAUUCCCGGUGUAGAGGUGAAAUUCGUAGAUAUCGGGAGGAACACCAGUGGCGAAGGCGGCGAUCUGGGAAGAUACUGACGCUGAGGUGCGAAAGCGUGGGGAGCAAACAGG